GUACUCGUGAAGAGUCCCAAACUAGGACGAAACAGCUGUCCAGUAC
This 46-nucleotide non-coding RNA is filed under the name Trichobilharzia regenti. Lineage: Eukaryota; Metazoa; Platyhelminthes; Trematoda; Strigeidida; Schistosomatidae. The record is from RNAcentral.